RNAcentral lists this ribosomal RNA (323 nucleotides) under uncultured eukaryote. RNAcentral's name for it is "partial 18S ribosomal RNA". It matches the Rfam family "Eukaryotic small subunit ribosomal RNA", at positions 1470 to 1796 of the family's 1831-position model. The record is from RNAcentral.
CCCUUAGAUGUUCUGGGCUGCACGCGUGCUACACUGAUAUUGCCAAUAUGUCAUUCUUAUCCGAAAUGGAUUGGGUAAUCAAGUAAUGAAAUUUCAUGCUUGGAAUCGGUAAUUGCAAUUUUAUCGUGAACGAGGAAUUCCUAGUAAGCACUAGUCAUCAGCUAAUGUUGAUUAUGUCCCUGCCCUUUGUACACACCGCCCGUCGCUACUACUGAUUGGGUGUUCAAGUGAGAUGCUUAGGCCCUUGUUGCAUGGUUCAUUAUUGUGCUCCGAAAGGAAAAAGUUUCAAGCUUGAGUGUCUAGAGGAAGUAAAAGUCGUAACA